UGGGGAAUAUUGCACAAUGGGCGAAAGCCUGAUGCAGCGACGCCGCGUGAGGGAUGACGGCCUUCGGGUUGUAAACCUCUUUCAGCAGGGACGAAGCGCAAGUGACGGUACCUGCAGAAGAAGCACCGGCUAACUACGUGCCAGCAGCCGCGGUAAUACGUAGGGUGCAAGCGUUGUCCGGAAUUACUGGGCGUAAAGAGUUCGUAGGCGGUUUGUCGCGUCGUUUGUGAAAACCAGCAGCUCAACUGCUGGCUUGCAGGCGAUACGGGCAGACUUGAGUACUGCAGGGGAGACUGGAAUUCCUGGUGUAGCGGUGAAAUGCGCAGAUAUCAGGAGGAACACCGGUGGCGAAGGCGGGUCUCUGGGCAGUAACUGACGCUGAGGAACGAAAGCGUGGGUAGCGAACAGGAUUAGAUACCCUGGUAGUCCACGCCGUAAACGGUGGCGCUAGGUGUGGUUCCUUCCACGGAAUCCGUGCCGUAGCUAACGCAUUAAGCGCCCCGCCUGGGGAGUACGGCCGCAAGGCUAAAACUUAAAGGAAUUGACGGGGUCAUAGCUGUUUCCU
This 565-nucleotide ribosomal RNA is filed under the name uncultured bacterium. RNAcentral's name for it is "partial 16S ribosomal RNA". It matches the Rfam family "Bacterial small subunit ribosomal RNA", at positions 355 to 1375 of the family's 1533-position model. The record is from RNAcentral.